Nelumbo nucifera (sacred lotus) is the source of this 147-nucleotide non-coding RNA. The record is from Rfam. Lineage: Eukaryota; Viridiplantae; Streptophyta; Magnoliopsida; Proteales; Nelumbonaceae.
GGGAUAAGUGUGGGUGAGGUUAGCCAAGGAGCUUGCCUAUGAACCAUGCAGAUGGCAUCUUAAGACAAUGAAGACGCUCUGCCAUUAAUUAGACCCUUGACAGGGGCAUAGGCAAGUCAUCCUUGGCUACAAAACACACACUUAUCU